RNAcentral lists this ribosomal RNA (540 nucleotides) under Triticum aestivum (bread wheat). RNAcentral's name for it is "partial small subunit ribosomal RNA". The record is from RNAcentral. Lineage: Eukaryota; Viridiplantae; Streptophyta; Magnoliopsida; Poales; Poaceae.
AUGAGCAGGUGGAUCUGUCAGUCUGCAUGCUCGGCUCGUUGUGUUCUUGCCUGGCUGGUCGUCGACCCUGAGGUAUGCUCUCCUCUCCGCCUCGCUUCAGUAUCUUGUGCUCAUGCUGCCACUGAAGCUCUGAGCUUCCCUUUUCCCUGCAGUUCUGUUCUCAUAUUCCCCUUCUGCCGCUGUUUCCUCCCACUUAACCAUCCAGCGUCCCUGCACUUCCCGCAUCCGUUCGUCUGCUCGUGUGGUUCUAGUUCAUGCCUACUAUGGAUGUUUGCCCAUGGUGUUGAACCUGCUGCAGUUUGGGCGCCAGGACGUGCUGCUUGGUCAUGUUUUUGUGGAGAUUUGGGAUUAUACAUGUUGCUCAAGUAUGCCAUGAGGUAUUUUUCUCUCUUCAGUGAUUUACAAUUACUGUCAAUGGUAAAUUUGAGGUUCCAUGGCAUGUUUUGCAUUUUACAUCUUAGGAAAAUUCACAUUGGUAAUUGGAUUAUAGAAGUUUGUGUUGUUGAAUCUGUGGUUGAACUGGCAGGUGUAGACAUCUGA